GCUCAGAGUGAACGCUGGCGGCAGGCCUAACACAUGCAAGUCGAACGGCAGCGGGUAGGAAGCUUGCUUCCUAUGCCGGCGAGUGGCGGACGGGUGAGGAGCGCAUCGGAAUCUACUCCGUCGUGGGGGAUAACGUAGGGAAACUUACGCUAAUACCGCAUACGACCUAAGGGUGAAAGUGGGGGACCGCAAGGCCUCACGCGAUGGAAUGAGCCGAUGUCCGAUUAGCUAGUUGGUGGGGUAAAGGCCUACCAAGGCGACGAUCCGUAGCUGGUCUGAGAGGACGACCAGCCACACUGGGACUGAGACACGGCCCAGACUCCUACGGGAGGCAGCAGUGGGGAAUAUUGGACAAUGGGCGAAAGCCUGAUCCAGCCAUGCCGCGUGGGUGAAGAAGGCCUUCGGGUUGUAAAGCCCUUUUGUUGGGGAAGAAAUCCUGCUGGCUAGUACCCGGCGGGGAUGACGG
This 466-nucleotide ribosomal RNA is filed under the name uncultured bacterium. RNAcentral's name for it is "bacterial SSU rRNA". It matches the Rfam family "Bacterial small subunit ribosomal RNA", at positions 22 to 494 of the family's 1533-position model. The record is from RNAcentral.